Molecule: long non-coding RNA, 352 nt
Organism: Oncorhynchus keta (chum salmon)
Lineage: Eukaryota; Metazoa; Chordata; Actinopteri; Salmoniformes; Salmonidae
Exons: 6
Source: RefSeq, a predicted model, not a curated record
GUCAGUAUAUAACAGAGAGGAGGUACAGUACAUACUCUAGUGCUGGUCUGAGGUCAGUAUAUAACAGAGAGGAGGUACAGUACAUACUCUAGUGCUGGUCUGAUGUCAGUAUAUAUAUCACAGAGGAGGUACAGUACAUACUCUAGUGCUGGUCUGAUGUCAGUAUAUAUAUAUAUAUCACAGAGGAGGUACAGUACAUACUCUAGUGCUGGUCUGAGGUCAGUAUAUAACAGAGAGGAGGUACAGUACAUACUCUAGUGCUGGUCUGAUGUCAGUAUAUAUAUAUAUAUCACAGAGGAGGUACAGUACAUACUCUAGUGCUGGUCUGAGGUCAGUAUAUAACAGAGAGGAG